Molecule: ribosomal RNA, 119 nt
Filed under: Pteropus alecto (black flying fox)
Lineage: Eukaryota; Metazoa; Chordata; Mammalia; Chiroptera; Pteropodidae
Source: RNAcentral
GGCUAUGGCCAUACCACCCUGAACAUGUUCGAUUUUGUCUGAUCUCGGAAGCUAAGCAGGGUCUGGCCUGGUUAGUACUUGGAUAAGAGACUACCUAGGAAGACCGGGUAUUGUAGGCA